GGAGGGAUACCCUAGCGGCCAAAGGGAGCAGACUGUAAAUCUGCCGUCGUAAGACUUCGGUGGUUCAAAUCCACCUCCCUCCACCA
RNAcentral lists this transfer RNA (86 nucleotides) under Desulfovibrio sp. Its description in RNAcentral is "tRNA-Tyr". It matches the Rfam family "tRNA". Rfam says of the family: Transfer RNA (tRNA) molecules are approximately 80 nucleotides in length. The record is from RNAcentral. Lineage: Bacteria; Pseudomonadati; Thermodesulfobacteriota; Desulfovibrionia; Desulfovibrionales; Desulfovibrionaceae.